RNAcentral lists this ribosomal RNA (462 nucleotides) under uncultured bacterium. Its description in RNAcentral is "bacterial SSU rRNA". It matches the Rfam family "Bacterial small subunit ribosomal RNA", at positions 28 to 498 of the family's 1533-position model. The record is from RNAcentral.
GACGAACGCUGGCGGCGUGCUUCAUACAUGCAAGUCGAACGAGGUCCAACUGGUAGCAAUACCGGUGAAGACCUAGUGGCGAACGGGUGAGUAACACGUGAGGAACCUGCCCCGAAGACCGGGAUAACAGUGGGAAACCGCUGCUAAUACCGGAUACCCCCACCGGAUCGCAUGGUCUGGUGAGGAAAUGGAUUCCGCUUCGGGAGGGCCUCGCGGCCUAUCAGCUUGUUGGUGGGGUAANGGCCUACCAAGGCGACGACGGGUAGCUGGUCUGAGAGGACGAUCAGCCACACUGGGACUGAGACACGGCCCAGACUCCUACGGGAGGCAGCAGUAGGGAAUCUUGCGCAAUGGGCGAAAGCCUGACGCAGCAACGCCGCGUGAGGGAUGAAUGCCUUCGGGUUGUAAACCUCUUUCAAGACAGGGACGAUAAUGACGGUACCUGCAGAAGAAGCUCCGGCC